Molecule: long non-coding RNA, 485 nt
Organism: Lytechinus variegatus (green sea urchin)
Lineage: Eukaryota; Metazoa; Echinodermata; Echinoidea; Temnopleuroida; Toxopneustidae
Exons: 4
Source: RefSeq, a predicted model, not a curated record
GAUACGGGUUGUCUUUAAAAUGAAUAAAAGAGUUGUGACUUGUGCAGUCGUCUAACAUAGAAGUCAUUUGAAGAAAACAUCCAUGCACUGCAGACGUAGAUAAUUCUUUUAGAUCUGAAAACACUUGAAGAGAUAAAACAUGGCAUCAAAACUCAUAAUUGUUGUGCUUCUGGUCGCUAUGAUGAUGAUCACCACCAGAGCGUCCAGCAACGAAGAGGGCGCUCUUGAUAAAUCGGCAGACGUUCAGGAAGAUGCGAGAGAUCAGUCUAAUUUCAAAUACGGAUUGUGCCUCCGUAAAGGACAUGAUGAAGAAUAUUGCCGAGAUCGCUUUUACAAGCAUCCCGGCAUGCCAUGGAAAUAAAGAGCUACGGAGGCAGAACAGACUUAUUACUGGAUACACAUUGAUCCACGCGUUCAAUAUUUAUUAUUCGCUGAUAAACAAAACCCCUUAAAUUCUAAGUUUCCAUAUCUUUCUAACAUUGAAU